UAUAAAGGCGGCAUCGCUGCGGUAGUUGAUAGUGACACUGAGGCAUUGUGGUCUGAGGAGCCGACGAAACGAACACGAGCAGCGCCCAAUGCGCAAUAAUGCAUCCCUAAAUCAGCCAGUGUUUUCAUUUAUUGUGAGGACAGGGAAAUAUUAACGUUCAUUUGCUUUCGCUCGCCACUUUUAAGCAGAACAGAUGCCUGCACUUCGCAUCACGACAAUGAUCGCGCGAGGAUGCGCUGCUCUCCUGCUCCUGGUGAAUAUUGUCAUCUCUGCACCAGUCUCUCCAGGUCACAUGGAAGAGAAGGAUGUGAAGGUGAUGAAGUGUAUUGUGGAGGUGAUUGCAGAUGCUCUGUCUAAGCCUCAUCCAAUCCCAGUGUCCCAGGACUGCCUUGAAACCCUCAGCAC
Molecule: long non-coding RNA, 405 nt
Organism: Danio aesculapii
Lineage: Eukaryota; Metazoa; Chordata; Actinopteri; Cypriniformes; Danionidae
Exons: 3
Source: RefSeq, a predicted model, not a curated record